This 376-nucleotide ribosomal RNA is filed under the name uncultured bacterium. RNAcentral describes it as "bacterial SSU rRNA". It matches the Rfam family "Bacterial small subunit ribosomal RNA", at positions 523 to 898 of the family's 1533-position model. The record is from RNAcentral.
AUACGUAGGGGGCAAGCGUUGUCCGGAAUUAUUGGGCGUAAAGCGCGCGCAGGCGGUUCUUUAAGUCUUGUGUUUAAUCCCGGGGCUCAACCCUGGUGCGCAUGGGAAACUGGAGGACUGGAGUGCAGGAGAGGGAAGUGGAAUUCCACGUGUAGCGGUGAAAUGCGUAGAGAUGUGGAGGAACACCAGUGGCGAAGGCGACUUUCUGGCCUGUAACUGACGCUGAGGCGCGAAAGCGUGGGGAGCAAACAGGAUUAGAUACCCUGGUAGUCCACGCCGUAAACGAUGAGUGCUAGGUGUCGGGGGUUUCGAUACCCACGGUGCCGAAGUCAACACAGUAAGCACUCCGCCUGGGGAGUACGCUCGCAAGAGUGAA